AGAUACCCCCGUAGUCCCAGCCGUAAACUAUGCUCGCUAGGUGUCAGGCAUGGCGCGACCGUGUCUGGUGCCGCAGGGAAGCCGUGAAGCGAGCCACCUGGGAAGUACGGCCGCAAGGCUGAAACUUAAAGGAAUUGGCGGGGGAGCACAACAACGGGUGGAGCCUGCGGUUUAAUUGGACUCAACGCCGGGAAGCUCACCGGAUAAGACAGCAGAAUGAUUGCCGGGCUGAAGACCCUGCAUGACUAGCUG
This 252-nucleotide ribosomal RNA is filed under the name uncultured archaeon. RNAcentral's name for it is "partial 16S ribosomal RNA". It matches the Rfam family "Archaeal small subunit ribosomal RNA", at positions 731 to 982 of the family's 1478-position model. The record is from RNAcentral.